AUUGAACGCUGGCGGCAUGCCUUACACAUGCAAGUCGAACGGCAGCACGGGAGCAAUCCUGGUGGCGAGUGGCGAACGGGUGAGUAAUAUAUCGGAACGUGCCCGGUCGUGGGGAUAACGUAGCGAAAGCUACGCUAAUACCGCAUACGAUCUACGGAUGAAAGCGGGGGAUCGCAAGACCUCGCGCGAUUGGAGCGGCCGAUAUCAGAUUAGGUAGUUGGUGAGGUAAAGGCUCACCAAGCCGACGAUCUGUAGCUGGUUUGAGAGGAUGAUCAGUCACACUGGAACUGAGACACGGUCCAGACUCCUACGGGAGGCAGCAGUGGGGAAUUUUGGACAAUGGGCGCAAGCCUGAUCCAGCAAUGCCGCGUGCAGGAUGAAGGCCU
RNAcentral lists this ribosomal RNA (386 nucleotides) under uncultured bacterium. Its description in RNAcentral is "bacterial SSU rRNA". It matches the Rfam family "Bacterial small subunit ribosomal RNA", at positions 30 to 417 of the family's 1533-position model. The record is from RNAcentral.